GUCACUCCUUGACUUGCCUCCCAUCAAUCAACACCGGCAGCAAAUGCAAGAAGGGAACAAGCUUACAUAAAUGCAUUCAAAUGAAAAUAAAACACUUUUUAUAUUCAACAAAUGCUACCACCGUACUGCAAUGAUAGUUUCAAGAAAAAAAAUUAGUUUAACACAAAAUAAAAAGGUAAGGGAAAUGUGCUUUCUUCAUUUCAUCAGAAAAACCGUGAGCCCUUCCAAAAGCUAUCCAAGAAAAUGUUCAAAAUAAAAAAGAAUAAAAGCAUUGGAGUCCCUCUGCCACGUUCUAGCAAAACGAAAAUAAUGAAAAAAAAAAAAAUCCUCUCAAGCAAAUGAUGGCUGCACCUUGUAAUCCAUUCAACCAAAAUCCAAAAUUAGCUCCAUGGGAAAAGAAAAUGUUCAAAGCCUAGUGGUGCCCUNCAAAAUCUGCCGAGAAUGAAUUUCUUCAAAAUGACGACUCCUCCUUUUUGUGAUCCCUAGGACCAUGUNUCCUAAAAUGAGGUGGGGUCCACCCUAAAAAUAAAAAGAAACCCUAGGACAAGUGUCCUACAAUUUUGGG
RNAcentral lists this long non-coding RNA (565 nucleotides) under Vigna radiata. Its description in RNAcentral is "long non-coding RNA (VRAD_LNC018235)". Lineage: Eukaryota; Viridiplantae; Streptophyta; Magnoliopsida; Fabales; Fabaceae. The record is from RNAcentral.